RNAcentral lists this ribosomal RNA (1272 nucleotides) under Triticum aestivum (bread wheat). RNAcentral's name for it is "partial small subunit ribosomal RNA". Lineage: Eukaryota; Viridiplantae; Streptophyta; Magnoliopsida; Poales; Poaceae. The record is from RNAcentral.
AUGGAAGAAGAGGUUGAAAAUCAGCAUGGCUUGCCAUUCGGAAGGCAGGGGGGGCCCGAGGAUUCAGUUUAUGCUGUCCAGCGGUUAUCAGAUGAUUUGGAGGAUCAGAUUGCACUGACUUCACGGCUGUCAGUUAAGCAUGUCGUCGAGGUUGUAAAAAAGUUUGACGACUACAAGAGGUGGCUUGUGGCUGAGAUUGGGUUUGAAGGUAUGCUGAAUCUUCCAUUGUUGGGAAAACUAGAUCUGAAAAUGAGUGCAUGGGUUAUGAGGAAGGCGAAGGUGAAGACGCGCACAAUAGUUAUUGACAAGGAUCGGGUGAUUAUGUUUACUCCAGAGGAUUUUCACAAAAAUUUUGGAGUUCCUUGUGGCAACCGGGCUGUCCGUGGAAGGGAUGGUGAAAUCAAGACAGCAGCAGUUGAGUUUAUGAAGCAGACAAUUGGGAUGAAUGCAUCACCUGCUCACAAUCUGAAGGUCGCGGAAGAUUUUUUGUGUAGAGAGAUAUCAGAGGAGUCGAGCAAGAUUGAGAAGGAUUGUUUCCAGAUUUCGUUUGUUAUAUUUGUAAUGGGUUAUGUCCUGUCACCGGGAACGAAAUAUGAGCACAUGACAAUUGAUUUCUGGGGUGCACUGGCCAAUCCAGAACUGAUAUCACAAUUCAAUUGGUGCGAGUAUGCUGUUGACAAUCUAAUGGCAGGUGUGAUGAAGUUGCAGAGUGAAUAUCACAACAAGGCACAAACAGUUCAUCUUACUGGAUGCCAUUUGUUCUUUCAGAUUUUCGUGCUGGACAACAUUGACCUUGGGAUAUUCAACAUGGAGCACUCUGUAUUUCCGCGUGUGCAGUGUUUUCAACAGAAAAAACUUAACCAGAUGAUCAUCAUGGCUCGGUGCACGCAGCGGGGCAUGAUAACCUAUGUCCCAGGAGCUUUGCGUCCUCCAGAUUCGGUUUGCUAUAUUCGGGUCACUGCGUCGAGCCCAGUGUACAGAGACAGUAGAUUAAUGGAGUCCUCAUCAAAGCAUCCAGUUUCGAGGAUGUUUGUUACACCAAACAUUCAGGAAUUGAAGGGUGGCUCACAUGACAGCACAGCUGCAAAAAACUUUUUUUCUAAUCCUAUGUCUGCCACCCGUUCAAUAGGACCAAGUGAUUUUAGCAAGCAUCUUAGAGAAAUUUGCAAAGAUGACCCUGUAUGUUUGGGUGUUGUUUUUCUUCUUAUUUUUUGCAUGCACGAGUUAUGCAUUAGUAUGAUGUUUUGGGGUUGCAGGUACUGGAAGAGUUGA